Molecule: RNase P RNA, 368 nt
Filed under: Aliidiomarina sanyensis
Lineage: Bacteria; Pseudomonadati; Pseudomonadota; Gammaproteobacteria; Alteromonadales; Idiomarinaceae
Description: Bacterial RNase P class A
Rfam family: Bacterial RNase P class A
About the family: Ribonuclease P (RNase P) is a ubiquitous endoribonuclease, found in archaea, bacteria and eukarya as well as chloroplasts and mitochondria. Its best characterised activity is the generation of mature 5'-ends of tRNAs by cleaving the 5'-leader elements of precursor-tRNAs. Cellular RNase Ps are ribonucleoproteins.
Source: Rfam by way of RNAcentral
GGAGUUGGCCGAGACAAUCGCUGCUUGCGUUAGCAAGGGGAGGAAAGUCCGGGCUCCAUAGGGCAGAGUGCCAGGUAACGCCUGGGCGGCGCGAGCCGACGACUAGUGCAACAGAGAGCAGACCGCCGAUGGCUUUUGUUUUCCUCGGAAAGCAGAAGAUCAGGUAAGGGUGAAAGGGUGCGGUAAGAGCGCACCGCGUGGCUGGUAACAGUUCAUGGCACGGUAAACUCCACUCGGAGCAAGACCAAAUAGGGAUCCAUGGGGUGGCCCGCCUCGGGUCCGGGUAGGUUGCUUGAGGCUGUGGGCGACUGCAGUCCUAGACGAAUGAUUGUCCUCGACAGAACCCGGCUUAAUGGCCAACUCCCCAU